Molecule: ribosomal RNA, 571 nt
Filed under: uncultured bacterium
Lineage: Bacteria
Description: partial 16S ribosomal RNA
Rfam family: Bacterial small subunit ribosomal RNA
Source: RNAcentral
UGGGGAAUUUUGGACAAUGGGCGAAAGCCUGAUCCAGCAAUGCCGCGUGUGUGAAGAAGGCCUUCGGGUUGUAAAGCACUUUUGUCCGGAAAGAAAAUCCUUGGCUCUAAUACAGUCGGGGGAUGACGGUACCGGAAGAAUAAGCACCGGCUAACUACGUGCCAGCAGCCGCGGUAAUACGUAGGGUGCAAGCGUUAAUCGGAAUUACUGGGCGUAAAGCGUGCGCAGGCGGUUUGCUAAAGACCGAUGUGAAAUCCCCGGGCUCAACCUGGGAACUGCAUUGGUGACUGGCAGGCUAGAGUAUGGCAGAGGGGGGUAGAAUUCCACGUGUAGCAGUGAAAUGCGUAGAGAUGUGGAGGAAUACCGAUGGCGAAGGCAGCCCCCCUGGGCCAAUACUGACGCUCAUGCACGAAAGCGUGGGGAGCAAAACAGGAUUAGAUACCCUGGUAGUCCACGCCCUAAAACGAUGUCAACUAGUUGUUGGGGAUUCAUUUCCUUAGUAACGUAGCUAACGCGUGAAGUUGACCGCCUGGGGAGUACAGUCGCAAGAUUAAAACUUAAAUGAAUUGAC